UGUCUUAUCUGGUCGGUAAGUUCAUAGAUUAGGAAAAAGACUACAGAACAAGAUGUGGAUAUUAAUACUCUAUAUCUUUUCUCUGGUCUCAGUUUGCAUUUUGAUUUUCUCCGCUCUAUUUACUAUGAUAUCAUGCACCGAUUUAGAGAGCAACUAUAUUGGUCCGACUGAAAUGGUUCAAAAGUUCAAUCAACUUGUCAUGUAUGAAUAUGGUCUUCAGAUGUUCUUGACGUCGCUAUUCCUCGUUACCGGUCGUCUGCUCGAAUUCUUCAUAAAUAUCCCAAUUGCCGUCUAUUCCGGCUACUUAAUUUUCCACAACCUUCAGUGGCUCGAUGAGACACGGAUCUUAAGAGAUGAAUGUCUGGUCAAACUCCGUCGAAGGGAGUUUAUAAAACUUUUGUUUUUUCUUUUUCAUUUUGUUGUAUACACGAUUAAGCUCAUCUUCCACAGCAUAUAAGCAAACGUGCAAAAUCAACCAAAAUAACGGUUACUUUUUUAUUGUACCCAUCAUGAGGUCAUUUCAAUAUUUGCAUCUAAUUGGCACUCAUGAGGCUGUGCUCGAGUUUGGGCAUUACUGCGUCACCUUCAAUCAAUAACUCGCCUUGAGUGAAUAGGAUAUUUGCAAUAAACGUGAGCGCAAAA
Schistocerca gregaria is the source of this 642-nucleotide long non-coding RNA. RefSeq lists it as uncharacterized. The transcript has 4 exons. Lineage: Eukaryota; Metazoa; Arthropoda; Insecta; Orthoptera; Acrididae. The record is from RefSeq and is a predicted model, not a curated record.